RNAcentral lists this transfer RNA (70 nucleotides) under Ictidomys tridecemlineatus (thirteen-lined ground squirrel). RNAcentral's name for it is "Spermophilus tridecemlineatus (thirteen-lined ground squirrel) tRNA". It matches the Rfam family "tRNA". From Rfam's summary of the family: Transfer RNA (tRNA) molecules are approximately 80 nucleotides in length. Their secondary structure includes four short double-helical elements and three loops (D, anti-codon, and T loops). Further hydrogen bonds mediate the characteristic L-shaped molecular structure. tRNAs have two regions of fundamental functional importance: the anti-codon, which is responsible for specific mRNA codon recognition, and the 3' end, to which the tRNAs corresponding amino acid is attached (by aminoacyl-tRNA synthetases). tRNAs cope with the degeneracy of the genetic code in two manners: having more than one tRNA (with a specific anti-codon) for a particular amino acid; and 'wobble' base-pairing, i.e. permitting non-standard base-pairing at the 3rd anti-codon position. Lineage: Eukaryota; Metazoa; Chordata; Mammalia; Rodentia; Sciuridae. The record is from Rfam by way of RNAcentral.
GGGGGUAUAGCUCAAUGGUAAAGUACUUAUCUAGCAUGUAUGAUGCCCUGGGUUUAAUCCCCAGUAUCCA